Molecule: ribosomal RNA, 279 nt
Filed under: uncultured bacterium
Lineage: Bacteria
Description: partial 16S ribosomal RNA
Rfam family: Bacterial small subunit ribosomal RNA
Source: RNAcentral
UGCCAGCAGCCGCGGUAAUACAGAGGGUGCAAACGUUGCUCGGAAUUAUUGGGCGUAAAGAGCAUGUAGGCGGUUUUUUAAGUCGGCCGUGAAAGCCCAUGGCUCAACCAUGGAAGUGCAGUCGAUACUGAAAAACUUGAGUCCCGGAGAGGGUGGCGGAAUUCCCAGUGUAGAGGUGAAAUUCGUAGAUAUUGGGAGGAACACCGGUGGCGAAGGCGGCUCACUGGCUCGAUACUGACGCUGAGGUGCGAAAGUGUGGGGAGCAAACAGGAUUAGAUA